Molecule: long non-coding RNA, 269 nt
Filed under: Gossypium barbadense (sea-island cotton)
Lineage: Eukaryota; Viridiplantae; Streptophyta; Magnoliopsida; Malvales; Malvaceae
Description: long non-coding RNA (GBAR_LNC001203)
Source: RNAcentral
CACGGGUGUGUGCUUGGGCCGUGUGGUUUUGGCAGAAUGCCCAGGUUUUCAGACACAGGUUCGAGACAUAGGUGUGUCCCUAGCACACAGUCGUGUAUUCUAUACCCACACGGGCAUGUGGAGCUUUAAUGCAUGAGAUUUUCUAAGUUUUUCAUGAGUUCUCGGUUGGGUUUCGAACCACCCCGGAUGUAUGUUUUAGGCCUCGUAAGCCCGUAUAUGAGAUAGAUUGCUUGUGAAAAGAGAAAUUUUUAAAUUGUUUGAAAAUUUAC